This 73-nucleotide transfer RNA is filed under the name Alkalicoccobacillus murimartini. RNAcentral's name for it is "tRNA-Arg". It matches the Rfam family "tRNA". Rfam says of the family: Transfer RNA (tRNA) molecules are approximately 80 nucleotides in length. The record is from RNAcentral. Lineage: Bacteria; Bacillati; Bacillota; Bacilli; Caryophanales; Bacillaceae.
GCCCUAGUAGCACAGCGGAUAGUGCACUGGUUUCCUAAACCAUAGGUCGGGAGUUCGAGUCUCUCCUAGGGCA